GACGAACGCUGGCGGCGUGCUUAACACAUGCAAGUCGAACGGAAAGGCCCUGCUUUUGUGGGGUGCUCGAGUGGCGAACGGGUGAGUAACACGUGAGUAACCUGCCCUUGACUUUGGGAUAACUUCAGGAAACUGGGGCUAAUACCGGAUAGGAGCUCCUGCUGCAUGGUGGGGGUUGGAAAGUUUCGGCGGUUGGGGAUGGACUCGCGGCUUAUCAGCUUGUUGGUGGGGUAGUGGCUUACCAAGGCUUUGACGGGUAGCCGGCCUGAGGGGGUGACCGGCCACAUGGGGACGGAGAUACGGCCGAGACUCCUGCGGGGGGGAGCAGGGGGAAAUAUUGCAAAAGGGGCGGAAGCCUGAUGCAGCAACGCCGCGUGGGGGAUGACGGCUUUCGGGUUGAAAACCGCUUUCGCCUGUGACGAAGCGUGAGUGACGGUAAUGGAUAAAGAAGCACCGGCUAACUACG
RNAcentral lists this ribosomal RNA (466 nucleotides) under uncultured bacterium. Its description in RNAcentral is "partial 16S ribosomal RNA". It matches the Rfam family "Bacterial small subunit ribosomal RNA", at positions 28 to 505 of the family's 1533-position model. The record is from RNAcentral.